GGCUCACAGCAUCUGAUAGUGGAUUGAUGGAUACAAGUCUUUAGGUUUUGCAAAUCAAAUCAAAAUGUGUAGACCUUACAGUGAAAUGCUUUACUUACAAACCUUUAACCAACAAUGCAGUUUUCAGAAAAUACACACAAAAAAAGUAAGCGAUAAGAAUAACAACUAAUUAAAGAGCAGCAGUAAAUAACAGUAGUGAGGCUAUAUACAGGGGGCACCGGUACAGAGUCAAUGUGGAGACUAUAUACAGGGGGUACCGGUACAGAGUCAAUGUGGAGGCUAUAUACAGGGGGUACCGGUACAGAGUCAAUGUGGAGGCUAUAUACAGGGGGUAUUGGUACAGAGUCAAUGUGGAGACUAUAUACAGGGGGUACCGGUACAGAGUCAAUGUGGAGGCUAUAUACAGGGGGGUACUGGUACAGAGUCAAUGUGGAGACUAUAUACAGGGGGUACCGGUACAGAGUCAAUGUGGAGACUAUAUACAGGGGGUACCGGUACAGAGUCAAUGUGGAGGCUAUAUACAGGGGGUACCGGUACAGAGUCAAUGUGGAGGCUAUAUACAGGGUGUUACGGUACAGAGUCAAUGUGGAGGCUAUAUACAGGGGGUACCGGUACAGAGUCAAUGUGGAGGCUAUAUACAGGGGGUACCGGUACAGAGUCAAUGUGGAGGCUAUAUACAGGGGGUACUGGUACAGAGUCAAUGUG
Oncorhynchus tshawytscha (Chinook salmon) is the source of this 705-nucleotide long non-coding RNA. The record is from Ensembl. NCBI's taxonomy places the organism in Eukaryota, Metazoa, Chordata, Actinopteri, Salmoniformes, Salmonidae.